Molecule: ribosomal RNA, 508 nt
Filed under: uncultured bacterium
Lineage: Bacteria
Description: partial 16S ribosomal RNA
Rfam family: Bacterial small subunit ribosomal RNA
Source: RNAcentral
GAUGAACGCUAGCUACAGGCUUAACACAUGCAAGUCGAGGGGAAACGAUAUUGGAAGCUUGCUUCCGAUAGGCGUCGACCGGCGCACGGGUGAGUAACGCGUAUCCAACCUGCCCAUCACUUGGGGAUAACCUUGCGAAAGUAAGACUAAUACCCAAUGACGUCUCUAGAAGACAUCUGAAGGAGAUUAAAGAUUUAUCGGUGAUGGAUGGGGAUGCGUCUGAUUAGCUUGUUGGCGGGGUAACGGCCCACCAAGGCGACGAUCAGUAGGGGUUCUGAGAGGAAGGUCCCCCACAUCGAGACUGAGACACGGUCCAAACUCCUACGGGAGGCAGCAGUGAGGAAUAUUGGUCAAUGGACGAGAGUCUGAACCAGCCAAGUAGCGUGCAGGAUGACGGCCCUAUGGGUUGUAAACUGCUUUUAUAAGGGAAUAAAGUGAGUCUCGUGAGACUUUUCGCAUGUACCUUAUGAAUAAGGACCGGCUAAUUCCGUGCCAGCAGCCGCAGUAA